AUUGAACGCUGGCGGCAGGCCUAACACAUGCAAGUCGAGCGGAGCGGCGGACGGGUGAGUAAUGCCUAGGAAUCUGCCUGGUAGUGGUGGAUAACGUCCGGAAACGGGCGCUAAUACUGCAUACUAUCAGAUGAGCCUAUGUCGGAUUAGCUGGUUGGUGGUGUAAAGGCCUACCCAGGCGACGAUCCGUAACUGGUCCUAGAGGAUGAUAAGUCACACUGGAACUGAGACACGGUCCAGACUCCUACGGGAGGCAGCAGUGGGGAAUAUUGGACAAUGGGCGAAAGCCUGAUCCAGCCAUGCCGCGUGUGUGAAGAAGGUCUUCGGAUUGUAAAGCACUUUAAGUUGGGAGGCGUUACCAACAGAAUAAGCACCGGCUAACUUCGUGCCAGCCGCCGCGGUAAUAC
Molecule: ribosomal RNA, 407 nt
Filed under: uncultured bacterium
Lineage: Bacteria
Description: partial 16S ribosomal RNA
Rfam family: Bacterial small subunit ribosomal RNA
Source: RNAcentral